Puntigrus tetrazona (Sumatra barb) is the source of this 253-nucleotide long non-coding RNA. RefSeq lists it as uncharacterized. The record is from RefSeq and is a predicted model, not a curated record. The transcript is spliced from 4 exons. Lineage: Eukaryota; Metazoa; Chordata; Actinopteri; Cypriniformes; Cyprinidae.
AGCUCCGUUUUGCAUUUGACUGAAGAAAAAAACGUAUCAGCUAUUGAGAUGAAAGUAAAACAAUUAGAGACUCCAGAAUCAGGUGCACGGAGGCCCAAUUAGGACUGUAUAUGCAAAAGGCCAGGCGCUGAAGACUGAAGCUGAAUGUCAGAGCCUAUUUAAUGUCGAUUCAGCCAGCAUUUGGAAAAGCGUGCCGCUUGGUCUGACUCUUAAAGAAAGAAAUGUGAGCGACGGGAUGUGAUAGCAAGCAUGC